GGUUAAGCGACUAAGCGUACACGGUGGAUGCCCUGGCAGUCAGAGGCGAUGAAGGGCGUGCUAAUCUGCGAUAAGCGCCGGUAAGGUGAUAUGAACCGUUAUAACCGGCGAUACCCGAAUGGGGAAACCCAGUGUGACUCGUCACACUAUCAUUAACUGAAUCCAUAGGUUAAUGAGGCGAACCGGGGGAACUGAAACAUCUAAGUACCCCGAGGAAAAGAAAUCAACCGAGAUUCCCCCAGUAGCGGCGAGCGAACGGGGAGGAGCCCAGAGCCUGAAUCAGCAUGUGUGUUAGUGGAAGCGUCUGGAAAGGCGCGCGAUACAGGGUGACAGCCCCGUACACAAAAGCGCAUGUGCUGUGAGCUCGAUGAGUAGGGCGGGACACGUGGUAUCCUGUCUGAAUAUGGGGGGACCAUCCUCCAAGGCUAAAUACUCCUGACUGACCGAUAGUGAACCAGUACCGUGAGGGAAAGGCGAAAAGAACCCCGGCGAGGGGAGUGAAAAAGAACCUGAAACCGUGUACGUACAAGCAGUGGGAGCACAGGUUUACCUGUGUGACUGCGUACCUUUUGUAUAAUGGGUCAGCGACUUAUAUUCUGUAGCAAGGUUAACCGAAUAGGGGAGCCGCAGGGAAACCGAGUCUUAAUUGGGCGUUAAGUUGCAGGGUAUAGACCCGAAACCCGGUGAUCUAGCCAUGGGCAGGUUGAAGGUUGGGUAACACUAACUGGAGGACCGAACCGACUAAUGUUGAAAAAUUAGCGGAUGACCUGUGGCUGGGGGUGAAAGGCCAAUCAAACCGGGAGAUAGCUGGUUCUCCCCGAAAGCUAUUUAGGUAGCGCCUCGUGAAUUCAUCUCCGGGGGUAGAGCACUGUUUCGGCUAGGGGGCCAUCCCGGCUUACCAACCCGAUGCAAACUGCGAAUACCGGAGAAUGUUAUCACGGGAGACACACGGCGGGUGCUAACGUCCGUCGUGAAGAGGGAAACAACCCAGACCGCCAGCUAAGGUCCCAAAGUCAUGGUUAAGUGGGAAACGAUGUGGGAAGGCCCAGACAGCCAGGAUGUUGGCUUAGAAGCAGCCAUCAUUUAAAGAAAGCGUAAUAGCUCACUGGUCGAGUCGGCCUGCGCGGAAGAUGUAACGGGGCUAAACCAUGCACCGAAGCUGCGGCAGCGACGCUGAUGCGUUGUUGGGUAGGGGAGCGUUCUGUAAGCCUGUGAAGGUGUGUCGUGAGGCAUGCUGGAGGUAUCAGAAGUGCGAAUGCUGACAUAAGUAACGAUAAAGCGGGUGAAAAGCCCGCUCGCCGGAAGACCAAGGGUUCCUGUCCAACGUUAAUCGGGGCAGGGUGAGUCGACCCCUAAGGCGAGGCCGAAAGGCGUAGUCGAUGGGAAACGGGUUAAUAUUCCCGUACUUGGUGUUACUGCGAAGGGGGGACGGAGAAGGCUAUGUUGGCCGGGCGACGGUUGUCCCGGUUUAAGCGUGUAGGUGUGUGUUCCAGGUAAAUCCGGUUCACUUUAACACUGAGGCGUGAUGACGAGGCACUACGGUGCUGAAGCAACAAAUGCCCUGCUUCCAGGAAAAGCCUCUAAGCAUCAGGUAACAUCAAAUCGUACCCCAAACCGACACAGGUGGUCAGGUAGAGAAUACCAAGGCGCUUGAGAGAACUCGGGUGAAGGAACUAGGCAAAAUGGUGCCGUAACUUCGGGAGAAGGCACGCUGACACGUAGGUGAAGUGAUUUACUCACGGAGCUGAAGUCAGUCGAAGAUACCAGCUGGCUGCAACUGUUUAUUAAAAACACAGCACUGUGCAAACACGAAAGUGGACGUAUACGGUGUGACGCCUGCCCGGUGCCGGAAGGUUAAUUGAUGGGGUCAGCGCAAGCGAAGCUCCUGAUCGAAGCCCCGGUAAACGGCGGCCGUAACUAUAACGGUCCUAAGGUAGCGAAAUUCCUUGUCGGGUAAGUUCCGACCUGCACGAAUGGCGUAAUGAUGGCCAGGCUGUCUCCACCCGAGACUCAGUGAAAUUGAACUCGCUGUGAAGAUGCAGUGUACCCGCGGCAAGACGGAAAGACCCCGUGAACCUUUACUAUAGCUUGACACUGAACAUUGAGCCUUGAUGUGUAGGAUAGGUGGGAGGCUUUGAAGUGUGGACGCCAGUCUGCAUGGAGCCGACCUUGAAAUACCACCCUUUAAUGUUUGAUGUUCUAACGUGGACCCGUAAUCCGGGUUGCGGACAGUGUCUGGUGGGUAGUUUGACUGGGGCGGUCUCCUCCUAAAGAGUAACGGAGGAGCACGAAGGUUGGCUAAUCCUGGUCGGACAUCAGGAGGUUAGUGCAAUGGCAUAAGCCAGCUUGACUGCGAGCGUGACGGCGCGAGCAGGUGCGAAAGCAGGUCAUAGUGAUCCGGUGGUUCUGAAUGGAAGGGCCAUCGCUCAACGGAUAAAAGGUACUCCGGGGAUAACAGGCUGAUACCGCCCAAGAGUUCAUAUCGACGGCGGUGUUUGGCACCUCGAUGUCGGCUCAUCACAUCCUGGGGCUGAAGUAGGUCCCAAGGGUAUGGCUGUUCGCCAUUUAAAGUGGUACGCGAGCUGGGUUUAGAACGUCGUGAGACAGUUCGGUCCCUAUCUGCCGUGGGCGCUGGAGAACUGAGGGGGGCUGCUCCUAGUACGAGAGGACCGGAGUGGACGCAUCACUGGUGUUCGGGUUGUCAUGCCAAUGGCACUGCCCGGUAGCUAAAUGCGGAAGAGAUAAGUGCUGAAAGCAUCUAAGCACGAAACUUGCCCCGAGAUGAGUUCUCCCUGAGACUUAGAGUCUCCUGAAGGAACGUUGAAGACGACGACGUUGAUAGGCCGGGUGUGUAAGCGCAGCGAUGCGUUGAGCUAACCGGUACUAAUGAACCGUGAGGCUUAACCUU
This 2908-nucleotide ribosomal RNA is filed under the name Salmonella enterica. Its description in RNAcentral is "23S ribosomal RNA". It matches the Rfam family "Bacterial large subunit ribosomal RNA". Lineage: Bacteria; Pseudomonadati; Pseudomonadota; Gammaproteobacteria; Enterobacterales; Enterobacteriaceae. The record is from RNAcentral.